UACGGAGGGGGCAAGCGUUGUCCGGACUCACUGGGCGUAAAGGGUGCGUAGGUGGCUUGCCACGUCGGUGCUGAAAGCGCCCGGCUUAACCGGGCGAGGCGUGCCGAUACGAGCGAGCUCGAGCCUCGGAGAGGGCGGUGGAACUCCUGGUGUAGUGGUGAAAUGCGUAGAGAUCAGGAAGAACACCCGUGGCGCAAGCGACCGCCUGGCCGAGUGCUGACACUGAGGCACGAAAGCGUGGGGAGCGAACCGG
RNAcentral lists this ribosomal RNA (253 nucleotides) under uncultured bacterium. RNAcentral describes it as "partial 16S ribosomal RNA". It matches the Rfam family "Bacterial small subunit ribosomal RNA", at positions 524 to 776 of the family's 1533-position model. The record is from RNAcentral.